UACGGGGGGAGCAAGCGUUGUUCGGAUUUACUGGGCGUAAAGGGCGCGUAGGCGGCCACCGCAAGUCGACUGUGAAAUCUCCGGGCUUAACCCGGAAAGGUCAGCCGAUACUGCGGGGCUAGAGUGCAGAAGGGGCAACUGGAAUUCUCGGUGUAGCGGUGAAAUGCGUAGAUAUCGGUAGGAACACCAGUGGCGAAGGCGGUCUCCUGGGGCAUUCUUGACGCUGAGGCGCGAAAGCUGGGGGAGCGAACGGG
RNAcentral lists this ribosomal RNA (254 nucleotides) under uncultured bacterium. RNAcentral describes it as "partial 16S ribosomal RNA". It matches the Rfam family "Bacterial small subunit ribosomal RNA", at positions 524 to 776 of the family's 1533-position model. The record is from RNAcentral.